Molecule: unclassified non-coding RNA, 304 nt
Filed under: Hevea brasiliensis (rubber tree)
Lineage: Eukaryota; Viridiplantae; Streptophyta; Magnoliopsida; Malpighiales; Euphorbiaceae
Source: RNAcentral
UUUAAUUAUAAUAGAAAGCCAAUUGGUGACAGUCAACCUUUGCUCUCAAGGCAGCAGUUGGUGAAGCCCAAACAAGAGCAAAGGGAUGAUAAUCUUUAUGAUGCUGGGCAGUCCAGCAUUGAUCAUGUAAAUGCAUCUCGAUCAUCAUCAUCAGUAGUAUAUCAACGCAUCAUGGAAAACUUUCCAUCAUAGUCUUGCUUCUCAUAAAGUAGGGUCACAAGGGUUAAAAAGAAAAAAAGAAAAGAAAGGAAGACUCUGUUUGCCUUCAGUGAUUAAAGGUUUUUCUGUUUCAGUUCUGUUCUUA